Molecule: ribosomal RNA, 377 nt
Filed under: uncultured bacterium
Lineage: Bacteria
Description: bacterial SSU rRNA
Rfam family: Bacterial small subunit ribosomal RNA
Source: RNAcentral
UACGUAGGGCGCAAGCGUUAUCCGGAAUUAUUGGGCGUAAAGAGCUCGUAGGCGGUUUGUCGCGUCUGCUGUGAAAACCCGAGGCUCAACCUCGGGCCUGCAGUGGGUACGGGCAGACUAGAGUGCGGUAGGGGAGAUUGGAAUUCCUGGUGUAGCGGUGGAAUGCGCAGAUAUCAGGAGGAACACCGAUGGCGAAGGCAGAUCUCUGGGCCGUAACUGACGCUGAGGAGCGAAAGGGUGGGGAGCAAACAGGCUUAGAUACCCUGGUAGUCCACCCCGUAAACGUUGGGAACUAGUUGUGGGGUCCAUUCCACGGAUUCCGUGACGCAGCUAACGCAUUAAGUUCCCCGCCUGGGGAGUACGGCCGCAAGGCUAAA